GUAUUGUAUUGCGUUAAACGCGGCAUGCAUUCCAUGAGACUUUGUUACAGUGUGUGUGUAAAAAAAAAGCAGAACCACAGCAGGAGGACAGGCCCCCUGACCAUAGAACUACAGAGAGUGCACAGGGUGUGAGUGGAUGUGUGAACAGAGCGUGCACGUGCCCCCCUUGUUUGAGGACCAGCAACAACUCUUGUUGACAAUUCGGUAAUGAUCCUUCCGCAGGUUCACCUACGGAAA
RNAcentral lists this unclassified non-coding RNA (237 nucleotides) under uncultured fungus. RNAcentral's name for it is "sequence contains ITS1". Lineage: Eukaryota; Fungi. The record is from RNAcentral.